Non-coding RNA from Mycena latifolia, 96 nucleotides. The record is from the annotation of a GenBank genome assembly. Lineage: Eukaryota; Fungi; Basidiomycota; Agaricomycetes; Agaricales; Mycenaceae.
GCCUUUGUGGAGCAAUGAUGCUCGGCCUGUCUUUGUUAUACAGCACAAAAAUGGUAAUUUAACAGGUAGAUGGUGGUUUGAUCCUACCCAAAGGCA